CAUUAUGACACAGAUAAUCAAGAGUCAUCAUAUUUUCUCUCAUAAGUGAAAGUUAAGAGAGAAGAAAGAAAAAAGAAAGGUGGGAGAGGAUCUCUUGAAAACUGGAAGCGAGAAGACUAAAGUAGAGGAAGAGGGAAGCCAUUUCUCAAGAAAAACCCAAUAUCUGUGGCAAUGUGUGGAAGGGGAUUUUCAUUUCACCACCUGAGUUCUGUAGGUUCAAAGACCUGGUGCUGGCUUCAGGUCAGCUCUGAUGAGGACCUCAUGGCAGAGAGUAUCACAAUGGAGGGAGUAGGUGUGAGAGGCCAUUGUUUUAAUUUGUAACCAAAGAUUCACUUUACCUGUUAUGGAAUUUCAUAAGAAUGGAAUAAUAAAAUACUCAUCUCUUUCUCAAAACUUCUAUGACUUAUGCUCUUACGAUGGAUCUGUUAGGUAAGAGAGGGCAUGGGAAGGGCUAGGGCCCCUCAUCCUCACCCAGCAUCUUCCUGUGAGGGGAAACUUGGGCCUCUUGUGGUUAAAGGGAGUAAGAUAGAUGACAACAAGGGGAGUUUAAGACCCUAAAGGAAAAGUCCCAGAUCUUGGGCAUGUGCAGAGCCAGAGGGACUGACUCAAAGUAAACUUGUCGCUACUUAAGGUUAUCAGCAUUGCAGUUUGCUCUCCCUCUGUGCAUUUUCUAGGGGAAAAGGAAAUGCCUGGGCAGUAGAGAAGAAAUUAUGUCAAAUUCAGCUGUCAAUAAAGGUGCCAAUCAAACCUAGAUCUUCACAGGAGAAAGGGGCGAACUAGCAGAGCCCAACAAAAGUCAGUUUCACUGUGUAGACAGGGCCUUGAUCUUCUUCUCAGCUAGGCACAUUCUGUUCUCCAAGAGUGUUUUCUUUUGCUUUCAACAAACCUCUGGCUUUUCAGCCAAACUCUUGCUCAGUUCUUUGCUCAGCAUGCCAAGAACCUGGACCUAGAACUCCCUGGGGACCCUUGCCCUUAGGCCAGUUACAUAUCCACGUUAAUAUACACAUUAAUUAGUAUUUUAUUCCUUAUAA
Molecule: non-coding RNA, 1031 nt
Organism: Ictidomys tridecemlineatus (thirteen-lined ground squirrel)
Lineage: Eukaryota; Metazoa; Chordata; Mammalia; Rodentia; Sciuridae
Source: RefSeq, a predicted model, not a curated record